Molecule: ribosomal RNA, 1654 nt
Filed under: Plasmodium sp. LT15
Lineage: Eukaryota; Apicomplexa; Aconoidasida; Haemosporida; Plasmodiidae
Description: SSU rRNA
Rfam family: Eukaryotic small subunit ribosomal RNA
Source: RNAcentral
AAGUAUAUGCAUAUUUUAUAUGUAGAAACUGCGAACGGCUCAUUAAAACAGUUAUAAUCUACUUGACAUUUUUUCUAUAAGGAUAACUACGGAAAAGCUGUAGCUAAUACUUGCUUUAGCACUCUUGAUUAAGUUCUUGAGUGUGUACUUGUUAAGCCUUUUAAGAAAAAAGUUAUUAACUUAAGGAAUUAUAACAAAGAAGCAACACGUAAAUGGAUUUUCCAUUUUUUAGUGUGUAUCAAUCGAGUUUCUGACCUAUCAGCUUUUGAUGUUAGGGUAUUGGCCUAACAUGGCUAUGACGGGUAACGGGGAAUUAGAGUUCGAUUCCGGAGAGGGAGCCUGAGAAAUAGCUACCACAUCUAAGGAAGGCAGCAGGCGCGUAAAUUACCCAAUUCUAAAGAAGAGAGGUAGUGACAAGAAAUAACAAUACAAGGCCAAUCUGGCUUUGUAAUUGGAAUGAUGGGAAUUUAAAACCUUCCCAAAACUCAAUUGGAGGGCAAGUCUGGUGCCAGCAGCCGCGGUAAUUCCAGCUCCAAUAGCGUAUAUUAAAAUUGUUGCAGUUAAAACGCUCGUAGUUGAAUUUCAAAGAAUCGAUAUUUUAAGUAGCACUUUGUAGAUUAAUCAACAUAACUGAUACUACGUAUCGACUUUGUGCGCAUUUUUCUACUUAUGUGUUCUUUUAAUUAAAAUGAUUCUUUUUAAGAUCUUUCUUUUUUGCUUCGGCAUUUUAGGAGAUCUUGUUACUUUGAGUAAAUUAGGGUGUUCAAAGCAAACAGAUUAUAGCAUCUUUAUGCGUUUGAAUACUACAGCAUGGAAUAACAAAAUUGAACAAGUCAGAAUUUUGUUCUUUUUUCUUAUUUUGGCUUAGUUACGAUUAAUAGGAGUAGCUUGGGGGCAUUUGUAUUCAGAUGUCAGAGGUGAAAUUCUUAGAUUUUCUGGAGACAAACAACUGCGAAGGCAUUUGUCUAAAAUACUUCCAUUAAUCAAGAACGAAAGUUAAGGGAGUGAAGACGAUCAGAUACCGUCGUAAUCUUAACCAUAAACUAUACCGACUAGGUUUUGGAUGAAAGUAAAACAAAUAAGGAUAGUCUCUUCGGGGAUAGUCCUUAGAUUUCUUCCUUCAGUACCCUAUGAGAAAUCAAAGUCUUUGGGUUCUGGGGCGAGUAUUCGCGCAAGCGAGAAAGUUAAAAGAAUUGACGGAAGGGCACCACCAGGCGUGGAGCUUGCGGCUUAAUUUGACUCAACACGGGAAAACUCACUAGUUUAAGACAAGAGUAGGAUUGACAGAUUGAGAGCUCUUUCUUGAUUUCUUGGAUGGUGAUGCAUGGCCGUUUUUAGUUCGUGAAUAUGAUUUGUCUGGUUAAUUCCGAUAACGAACGAGAUCUUAACCUGCUAAUUAGCGGCAAAUACGAUAUAUUCUUACGUGGAAUUGCAUACUUAUGGUUUGUCUCUAUUGAGCUGCAUAAUAAUGAAGGAUCGUGAUUGCUUUUCGUGUCAAUCUUUCUUAAUCGAAUCGUUGAUGUGUUUUGUAUAUCUCGUUCUUUCAUUACCUUGCAAUCACUCAUUUGCCUUAUCAUACUGUUUCUCUUUUGCGUAAGAAUGUAUUUGCUUGAUUGUAAAGCUUCUUAGAGGAACGAUGUGUGUCUAACACAAG